GAGGUUUCGGCCAAGAAGACAGGGUGUUUAGUGGCGGACGGGUGAGUAACGCGUGAGUAACCUGCCUUGGAGUGGGGAAUAACACAGUGAAAACUGUGCUAAUACCGCAUAAUGCAUUUGGGUCGCAUGAUCCUGAAUGCCAAAGAUUUAUCGCUCUGAGAUGGACUCGCGUCUGAUUAGCUAGUUGGCGGGGCAAUGGCCCACCAAGGCGACGAUCAGUAGCCGGACUGAGAGGUUGGCCGGCCACAUUGGGACUGAGACACGGCCCAGACUCCUACGGGAGGCAGCAGUGGGGAAUAUUGGGCAAUGGGCGCAAGCCUGACCCAGCAACGCCGCGUGAAGGAAGAAGGCUUUCGGGUUGUAAACUUCUUUUGUCAGGGACGAAGCAAGUGACGGUACCUGACGAAUAAGCCACGGCUAACUACGUGCCAGCAGCCGCGGUAAUACGUAGGUGGCAAGCGUUAUCCGGAUUUACUGGGUGUAAAGGGCGUGUAGGCGGGAAAGCAAGUCAGAUGUGAAAACUGUGGGCUCAACCCACAGCCUGCAUUUGAAACUGUUUUUCUUGAGUACUGGAGAGGCAGAUGGAAUUCCUAGUGUAGCGGUGAAAUGCGUAGAUAUUAGGAGGAACACCAGUGGCGAAGGCGAUCUGCUGGACAGCAACUGACGCUGAGGCGCGAAAGCGUGGGGAGCAAACAGG
Molecule: ribosomal RNA, 697 nt
Filed under: uncultured Lachnospiraceae bacterium
Lineage: Bacteria; Bacillati; Bacillota; Clostridia; Lachnospirales; Lachnospiraceae
Description: bacterial SSU rRNA
Rfam family: Bacterial small subunit ribosomal RNA
Source: RNAcentral